UACAGAGGGUGCAAGCGUUGUUCGGAAUCACUGGGCGUAAAGCGCAUGUAGGUGGUAUAGUAAGUUGAAUGUGAAAUCCCUUGGCUCAACCGAGGACGUGCAUUCAAAACUGCUAAACUAGAGUAUCGGAGGGGGUGGUAGAAUUCCUAGUGUAGAGGUGAAAUUCGUAGAUAUUAGGAGGAAUACCCGUGGCGAAGGCG
This 200-nucleotide ribosomal RNA is filed under the name uncultured bacterium. Its description in RNAcentral is "partial 16S ribosomal RNA". It matches the Rfam family "Bacterial small subunit ribosomal RNA", at positions 524 to 723 of the family's 1533-position model. The record is from RNAcentral.